This 62-nucleotide ribosomal RNA is filed under the name Janthinobacterium lividum. Its description in RNAcentral is "partial 23S rRNA. Bacterial LSU". The record is from RNAcentral. Lineage: Bacteria; Pseudomonadati; Pseudomonadota; Betaproteobacteria; Burkholderiales; Oxalobacteraceae.
GGGUGUGGAAGUGCAGUAAUGCAUUAAGCUAACCAGUACUAAUUGCCCGUACGGCUUGUCCC